ACUGCAGAUAGACCUCGACACAGUCACAGGCCCGGCUGCCCGUCGUGCCCACCAUGCCUGGCUGCUCCCGAGUGGCCAAUACAUAGAGCCCAGGGCACUACACAUGCUUUGGAGCGCUUCAGGCCAACCUUGCAUCAGAGACAUCGAAGGGAAAAUAACACAUAGAAAAGCAGCAGGAGGAGGAGUGAAAAAGAAUGAUCGAGAAAGGCCAGUAACCCCGCUCAGCCCAGGCUCCGGAUCUGCUAUCGGGAUCAGAUCAGGAUCUCCAUCUCCAGUAGAAAGGGGCCCCGGAAGUUUGGCCAGGAAUGCGGAGGCAACUCUGUGGAACAGGAGGGACCCCAGAAUAAGGGCCGGACCCCAGAACCCUGCUCUCGUAGGCGAGGACUGAGCCUGCGACAGAUGCGUCUCCACACGCCCUCGGCGUCGCAAACUUCGUGGAAGUAGUGGCAGGUCUGGCCCAGAGCGACUACAUCUCUGACUGGGAGGAAUGAGAUGAUAUGCUCCACCUGGGGGGGCAGGAGGGAGGAAGCAGGGUUCAGUGGGGUCCCUCCGUGGCCUGGCCCCCUGCCCUUUAUUCUUUAAUACCUCCCUAUGGAGGACUCACCAGCUCUGGGGGGAACAGCUGGACAGAAAUAGGGUUCCCUCUCCCCUUCUUCUCUUCACCCCCAGGCUCUGGGCCACAUGAAGGGCAGCUCCGCUUCACCUGCCCGAGAAUGGGGAGCACAGGGGUUCCAUGAGAGUCAGGCCUCUUUUGCUGCCUUCUCUCAGCCUGUCUUUCAUUAGCUACUUUCUUGGGGGCUCACCGCCCUGUCUUCCGGCUCUGCGUUCUCAAAUCCUCCCGUCUUUCUCUCUAGGUCCAUGGGUCACCCUUCCCUGUCUGCCGUGUUCCUUGGUCCACCGGCUCCAAAGAACCCCUCCCCCGACCUCUGGCUACCAUCUUCUCCGUCCUUCCCUUGGCUCGCUCCCCCCUCACCCGGAGCCCCUCCUCCCGUCCGCACAGCCUGGUGACUUUUUGCAGCUUUCGCCUCCGGCUUCUCCUCACCAUCCUGACUGCCCCCUCCCUGCUCUUGCCCUCAUCUCUCCGUGCCCCUAGGCCCCCCGUAGUCAGCUCCUUGGCCCCCGUCCCUGCUGCCUUUCCCACACCAUGUCCCCCGCCUGGGCUUGGGGGACCUCUGGGGCCCCUCUGCCUCCUAGGCCCCUCCCCCAUGGAGUCUGGGAAGACAAACCUCUCUGUGACCUCACUGCCCAGCCACUGUGACCUAUUUUCCCCAACCUGGCCUGGGAUUUUGCUCCUGGACAGCUCCUGGGUUCUAGCUCAGCGUUAGCCGCCCCCCCCCCCCGCCCCAGGGGCUCAUGGGUUAUGCAUUUUACAGGAGAGAGAAAGUGGGAACUACUGGUAGAUGAGGCCUUUCCUUUUGGGGAGUAAUUCUGAGGUCCCUCCACUUGAGGCCCUUUUUUUGCAUUAACUCAGCUCCGUAGAGAAACACUGGUGAGUUCUUCCUACCUCAGCAGGCCAGGGCCUCCAGUGAUUUGUAGCCCAAGAGUAUAAACUCAAAAAAAAAAAAAAAAAAA
This is a long non-coding RNA of Mustela erminea (ermine), 1572 nucleotides long. RefSeq lists it as uncharacterized. The record is from RefSeq and is a predicted model, not a curated record. NCBI's taxonomy places the organism in Eukaryota, Metazoa, Chordata, Mammalia, Carnivora, Mustelidae. The transcript has 4 exons.